This 867-nucleotide ribosomal RNA is filed under the name uncultured bacterium. RNAcentral describes it as "bacterial SSU rRNA". It matches the Rfam family "Bacterial small subunit ribosomal RNA", at positions 27 to 903 of the family's 1533-position model. The record is from RNAcentral.
GGACGAACGCUGGCGGCGUGCUUCAUACAUGCAAGUCGAACGGGUACCAAUCAGUGGCAACACUGAGGAAGUACUAGUGGCGAACGGGUGAGUAACACGUGAGGAACUUGCCCCGGACUCUGGGAUAACAGGUGGAAACACCUGCUAAUACCGGAUGCCAUCGGUGGAUCGCAUGGUCUACCGAUGAGAGAAUUUCGGUCCGGGAUGGCCUCGCGGCCUAUCAGCUAGUUGGUGGGGUAACGGCCUACCAAGGCGUCGACGGGUAGCUGGUCUGAGAGGAUGAUCAGCCACACUGGGACUGAGACACGGCCCAGACUCCUACGGGAGGCAGCAGUAGGGAAUCUUGCGCAAUGGGCGAAAGCCUGACGCAGCAACGCCGCGUGCGGGAAGAAGGCCUUCGGGUUGUAAACCGCUUUUAGCAGGAACGAAAAUGACGGUACCUGCAGAAUAAGGUGCGGCCAACUACGUGCCAGCAGCCGCGGUGACACGUAGGCACCAAGCGUUGUCCGGAUUUAUUGGGCGUAAAGAGCUCGUAGGCGGUUCAGUAAGUCGGGUGUGAAAACUCUGGGCUUAACCCGGAGACGCCACCCGAUACUGCUGAACUAGAGUUCGGUAGGGGAGCGGGGAAUUCCUGGUGUAGCGGUGAAAUGCGCAGAUAUCAGGAGGAACACCGGUGGCGAAGGCGCCGCUCUGGGCCGAUACUGACGCUGAGGAGCGAAAGCGUGGGUAGCAAACAGGAUUAGAUACCCUGGUAGUCCACGCCGUAAACGUUGGGCACUAGGUGUGGGUUCCAACCAACGGAAUCCGUGCCGUCGCUAACGCAUUAAGUGCCCCGCCUGGGGAGUACGGCCGCAAGGUUAAAACUCA